RNAcentral lists this unclassified non-coding RNA (289 nucleotides) under uncultured Helotiales. Its description in RNAcentral is "sequence contains ITS1". The stretch from base 1 to 105 matches the Rfam family "5.8S ribosomal RNA", at positions 50 to 154 of the family's 154-position model. The record is from RNAcentral. Lineage: Eukaryota; Fungi; Ascomycota; Leotiomycetes; Helotiales.
GAAAUGCGAUAAGUAAUGUGAAUUGCAGAAUUCAGUGAAUCAUCGAAUCUUUGAACGCACAUUGCGCCCCUUGGUAUUCCGGGGGGCAUGCCUGUUCGAGCGUCAUUAUAACCCUCAAGCCUAGCUUGGUGUUGGAGCAUGCUACCUAGCAGCUCUUAAAAUCAGUGGCAGUGCCCUCUGGCUCUAAGCGUAGUAACUUUUCUCGCUAUGGAACCCAGAGGGACCGCGCCAAAACCCCCAACUUCUAAUGAUUGACCUCGGAUCAGGUAGGGAUACCCGCUGAACUUAA